UACGAAGGGGGCUAGCGUUGUUCGGAAUCACUGGGCGUAAAGGGCGCGUAGGCGGCUUUCUAAGUCGGGGGUGAGAGCCUGUGGCUCAACCACAGAAUUGCCUUCGAUACUGUAGAGCUUGAGACCGGAAGAGGUAAGUGGAACUGCGAGUGUAGAGGUGAAAUUCGUAGAUAUUCGCAAGAACACCAGUGGCGAAGGCGGCUUACUGGUCCGGUUCUGACGCUGAGGCGCGAAAGCGUGGGGAGCAAACAGG
This 253-nucleotide ribosomal RNA is filed under the name uncultured bacterium. Its description in RNAcentral is "partial 16S ribosomal RNA". It matches the Rfam family "Bacterial small subunit ribosomal RNA", at positions 524 to 776 of the family's 1533-position model. The record is from RNAcentral.